Molecule: unclassified non-coding RNA, 253 nt
Filed under: fungal sp.
Lineage: Eukaryota; Fungi
Description: partial internal transcribed spacer region
Rfam family: Eukaryotic small subunit ribosomal RNA (bases 1-46)
Source: RNAcentral
AAGUCGUAACAAGGUUUCCGUAGGUGAACCUGCGGAAGGAUCAUCAUUGAAAUUUUAUCAUGGUUAUUUUCAAGCCUCAAAGGGAGAAAUCUUUUUUUGGCUUGCAAACAACACAGAUACCCAAAAAAAAAAAGAAAAAGAAUUUUUUCUGAUGGUUUUUAGUGGUUGCCUGAUAUAAAAAAGUGUUUGGAAAAAAAAAAAAAGAAUGAAAUAAUAAAAAAACAACUUUCAACAACGGAUCUCUUGGCUCUCA